Molecule: ribosomal RNA, 706 nt
Filed under: uncultured Sporocytophaga sp.
Lineage: Bacteria; Pseudomonadati; Bacteroidota; Cytophagia; Cytophagales; Cytophagaceae
Description: SSU rRNA
Rfam family: Bacterial small subunit ribosomal RNA
Source: RNAcentral
AGCUUGCUGCUUUGAGACCGGCGCACGGGUGCGUAACGCGUAUGCAAUCUACCUUGUACAGGGGGAUAGCCCAGAGAAAUUUGGAUUAAUACCCCAUGGUGUUUAAGAGUGGCAUCACUUUUUUACUAAAGUUCCAACGGUACAAGAUGAGCAUGCGUCCCAUUAGCUAGUUGGUAUGGUAACGGCAUACCAAGGCUAUGAUGGGUAGGGGUCCUGAGAGGGAGAUCCCCCACACUGGUACUGAGACACGGACCAGACUCCUACGGGAGGCAGCAGUGAGGAAUAUUGGUCAAUGGUCGCAAGACUGAACCAGCCAUGCCGCGUGCAGGAAGACGGUCCUAUGGAUUGUAAACUGCUUUUAUACAGGAAGAAACCCUCUCACGUGUGGGAGCUUGACGGUACUGUAUGAAUAAGCAUCGGCUAACUCCGUGCCAGCAGCCGCGGUAAUACGGAGGAUGCGAGCGUUAUCCGGAAUCAUUGGGUUUAAAGGGUCCGUAGGCGGUUUAAUAAGUCAGUGGUGAAAUCUGGUCGCUCAACGAUCAAACUGCCAUUGAUACUGUUAGACUUGAAUAAUUGUGAAGUAACUAGAAUAUGUAGUGUAGCGGUGAAAUGCUUAGAUAUUACAUGGAAUACCAAUUGCGAAGGCAGGUUACUAACAAUUUAUUGACGCUGAUGGACGAAAGCGUGGGGAGCGAACAGGAUUAGA